This 348-nucleotide ribosomal RNA is filed under the name uncultured bacterium. RNAcentral's name for it is "partial 16S ribosomal RNA". It matches the Rfam family "Bacterial small subunit ribosomal RNA", at positions 338 to 703 of the family's 1533-position model. The record is from RNAcentral.
CCUACGGGUGGCAGCAGUGGGGAAUAUUGCACAAUGGGGGAAACCCUGAUGCAGCGACGCCGCGUGAGUGAGGAAGGAUUUCGGUAUGGAAAGCUCUAUCAGCAGGGAAGAAAAUGACGGUACCUGACGAAGAAGCCGCGGCUAACUACGUGCCAGCAGCCGCGGUAAUACGUAGGGGGCAAGCUUUAUCCGGAUUUACGGGGGGGAAAGGGAGCGUAGACGGUUACUCAAGUCAGAAGGGAAAACCCAGGGCUCAACCUUGGGACUGCUUUUGAAACUGCGUAGCUAGAGUGCAGGAGAGGUCAGCGGACUUCCUCGUGUAGCGCUGCACUGCGUCGUUAUUAGGCG